GAUGAACGCUGGCGGCGUGCUUAACACAUGCAAGUCGAACGGAAAGGCUCCUGCUUGCAGGGGUACUCGAGUGGCGAACGGGUGAGUAACACGUGGGUGAUCUGCCCUGCACUUCGGGAUAAGCCUGGGAAACUGGGUCUAAUACCGGAUAGGAAGAUGGUUUGGAUGCCAUUGUGGAAAGUUUUUUCGGUGUGGGAUGAGCUCGCGGCCUAUCAGCUUGUUGGUGGGGUAAUGGCCUACCAAGGCGUCGACGGGUAGCCGGCCUGAGAGGGUGUACGGCCACAUUGGGACUGAGAUACGGCCCAGACUCCUACGGGAGGCAGCAGUGGGGAAUAUUGCAUAAUGGGCGCAAGCCUGAUGCAGCGACGCCGCGUGGGGGAUGACGGCCUUCGGGUUGUAAACUCCUUUCGCUAGGGACGAAGCGCAAGUGACGGUACCUGGAGAAGAAGCACCGGCUAACUACGUG
Molecule: ribosomal RNA, 466 nt
Filed under: uncultured bacterium
Lineage: Bacteria
Description: partial 16S ribosomal RNA
Rfam family: Bacterial small subunit ribosomal RNA
Source: RNAcentral